This 537-nucleotide ribosomal RNA is filed under the name Triticum aestivum (bread wheat). RNAcentral's name for it is "partial small subunit ribosomal RNA". Lineage: Eukaryota; Viridiplantae; Streptophyta; Magnoliopsida; Poales; Poaceae. The record is from RNAcentral.
AUGUGGCGCACCGGCGAGCUCCAUUGGCGCUGCAGUGUGGACGCGCGCGGGUCUGGGGCCCGAGCCCAGAUCUGGCGCGGCCGGUGGCUGCUGCGGCGGGCCACCGCGGGUGGCAGGCUGGUCGGGACGUGGCGGUUCCGGCCGGGAGCUGCAGGUCCGUGGCGGUGGCGGCGUGCCACGGAAAAGGACGGCGACGCGGCGGCGUCGCACGGGACGGGCGGGGCUCCGGCGGAUCUGGUGUGUGGCGGCCGGUGGGAGAGCGGCUCGAGGUGUUCCCAGCUUGUUGGUGCUCCUACGGCGGGUCCCGGCGGCGUUCGGGGCGCGGAUCCGGGCGAGGCUGCCCCGGAUCUGCUGCGUGGUGGUCAACCUCGACUUCGGCGGGCUGUGGGCGGCGUUGCGGCGCGUUGGCUACGGCAGCGAGGAGGGAGGAUGGCGGCGCGGCGGUGCCGCUCUUGGCGGUGGGUGCGGGGCUGCCAUGACGGCGCGUGGUGCCGUGAUGGUUUUGCUUGCCGUGUAAGAGGCGGUUGGCGGUGGUGA